This 638-nucleotide long non-coding RNA is filed under the name Prunus dulcis (almond). RNAcentral describes it as "sRNA ncRNA". The record is from RNAcentral. Lineage: Eukaryota; Viridiplantae; Streptophyta; Magnoliopsida; Rosales; Rosaceae.
GGAGAUUAAAAAAAGGAGGACAAGACAAGAAACAAUAAAAGAAAUGAUCCAUGCAGUCAUUUAGUUUAUUAGGCAGCAAAAGCAAUUAACCCAGCACAGCUGAGUCAAUCAAUAGAUCCCAUUACACAAGCGCGCACCGGUUCCACAGAUUGUUUUUCUCCCACACAUAUACACUUUUAUGAUAAAUUAAUUCAUCAACAAUUUUUGGAGCAGAAGCAUCUGCGGCGGAAACCGCGGCAUUGGCCUCCGGUGAAGCCCUCUGAUUUGCAAGAUUGCACACAGCUACUUGUCAAAAAGCACAUCCCCUUGAAUUUUUGGCUCUGAGAAUCACAUGUCCUCUUCUCUGGCUCAACCUUCUUAGCGUCCCUUCCCUCCACAGCCAUCGGUCCCAUCUCUGUCAAAUCAACAUCCAUGCAUGCAUCCGUAAUUUGAUUAAUUAAUCUACAUACAUAAUUAAUGUAGUGAUCAAAUUAAUUAAGAAGGGAAUUAAAAGAUAUACCGGUAGCCACCAAAAGCAGGACAAGAACGAAGGCAGCUGAGACAAGGCGGAUGGAGCGAUCCAUCUUGAUCUGUGUGUAUGUGUGUGUGUGCGCGCUUGAUCUGUGUGUAUGUGUGUGCUUGUGUAUGCAGUAGAGAUC